Girardinichthys multiradiatus is the source of this 1003-nucleotide long non-coding RNA. RefSeq lists it as uncharacterized. The record is from RefSeq and is a predicted model, not a curated record. The transcript is spliced from 3 exons. NCBI's taxonomy places the organism in Eukaryota, Metazoa, Chordata, Actinopteri, Cyprinodontiformes, Goodeidae.
CCCCUUGCUGCCUGUUUUCUUGCAUUCUUUUACCUUUAGAUUCUUACCUGUCAGCUAAAGACUACAGAAAUGCUGUCCUAAACUACUUUAAAUCAAUGUCACUCAAGGAUUUUUCAGAGAAUUCUUUCACUUAUUUUAUUUUUAUCGCUUUUGAGACAAGGACCAGACGACGUCCGGAGCUGCUCCACUUUUCAUGGCAGCACAAGCUAACCCGUACAAGAUUCCUCCCUUUUCCACAGAUGACUAGGACAAACUUCUUCAAAAAAUAACAGUGAUGGAAAUGAAAAUUAUUUGGCUUGAAGUGAAUGUGGAGGUAAAUGCUGGGUAUGGAAAUGAAACUGCCUUACCGAUGAUUCAAAACAGUGAUAAAACUGACAGGCAACUCAGUAGCACACCAAGAAACAGAAUGUUCCAAUUAAUGAGAGUAAACUGAGCAGUCCUCCCUAGAACUCUCAGCACAAAGCCAAAAGAUAAAUCCCUUCCUUCAGAUCUGGAAAGACGACUAACAGGAAGAACGAAACAGCUUGGGUUAAACCCCAGCAAAAAGGAGACAACAACAACGGACGGUUCUCAUAACAAAUGAUGAGAGUAAACCAACUGAAAACAGGAAUUCCUCUAGAAAACAGAUUUGCUUCACUGCAAAACUCUGACCCCUUAAGGAAAGUUCAUCUUUCACCGGAGAGAGACACCAGCUGCUUCGUCCACAAACAGGAGACAAGAGAGUACGAAACAACUGAUAGAAAGGCGUUCUGAAGGACAACUGCAGCCUACUGAGAUAAGGAUGAACGAUGGGAAAAAAAUGCCACAGUAAGAGACUCCCCAGACUCCAACAGGACAAGUGGACCCCCUCUUAGCCCCAACAGAGGACCCCAAACCUCUUCCCCCCUAGAAUGGUCAAGAUGGGAAUACAUACAACUUACUCGCGCCCAAAUCUCGAAAACUCCAGAAGACUCAGGUGGAGGCCUCAACAAUCUCCUGGAUUAAAGAUUAAAGACUACCUGAC